This 561-nucleotide ribosomal RNA is filed under the name uncultured bacterium. Its description in RNAcentral is "partial 16S ribosomal RNA". It matches the Rfam family "Bacterial small subunit ribosomal RNA", at positions 355 to 909 of the family's 1533-position model. The record is from RNAcentral.
UGGGGAAUUUUGGACAAUGGGCGAAAGCCUGAUCCAGCAAUGCCGCGUGUGUGAAGAAGGCCUUCGGGUUGUAAAGCACUUUUGUCCGGAAAGAAAUCCUUGGCUCUAGUACAGUCGGGGGAUGACGGUACCGGAAGAAUAAGCACCGGCUAACUACGUGCCAGCAGCCGCGGUAAUACGUAGGGUGCAAGCGUUAAUCGGAAUUACUGGGCGUAAAGCGUGCGCAGGCGGUUUGCUAAGACCGAUGUGAAAUCCCCGGGCUCAACCUGGGAACUGCAUUGGUGACUGGCAGGCUAGAGUAUGGCAGAGGGGGGUAGAAUUCCACGUGUAGCAGUGAAAUGCGUAGAGAUGUGGAGGAAUACCGAUGGCGAAGGCAGCCCCCUGGGCCAAUACUGGCGCUCAUGCACGAAAGCGUGGGGAGCAAACAGGAUUAGAUACCCUGGUAGUCCACGCCCUAAACGAUGUCAACUAGUUGUUGGGGAUUCAUUUCCUUAGUAACGUAGCUAACGCGUGAAGUUGACCGCCUGGGGAGUACGGUCGCAAGAUUAAAACUUAAAGGAA